This 397-nucleotide ribosomal RNA is filed under the name uncultured bacterium. RNAcentral's name for it is "partial 16S ribosomal RNA". It matches the Rfam family "Bacterial small subunit ribosomal RNA", at positions 523 to 918 of the family's 1533-position model. The record is from RNAcentral.
AUACGUAGGUGGCAAGCGUUGUCCGGAAUUACUGGGUGUAAAGGGAGCGCAGGCGGGGAUGCAAGUUGGAUGUGAAAUACCGCAGCUUAACUGCGGAGCUGCAUCCAAAACUGUAUUUCUUGAGUGAAGUAGAGGUAGGCGGAAUUCCUAGUGUAGCGGUGAAAUGCGUAGAUAUUAGGAGGAACACCAGUGGCGAAGGCGGCCUACUGGGCUUUAACUGACGCUGAGGCUCGAAAGUGUGGGGAGCAAACAGGAUUAGAUACCCUGGUAGUCCACACUGUAAACGAUGAAUGCUAGGUGUAGGGGGUAUCGACCCCUUCUGUGCCGCAGUUAACACAAUAAGCAUUCCGCCUGGGGAGUACGGCCGCAAGGUUGAAACUCAAAUGAAUUGACGGGG